UAGGGAAUCUUCCGCAAUGGGCGAAAGCCUGACGGAGCAACGCCGCGUGAGUGAUGAAGGUCUUCGGAUCGUAAAACUCUGUUAUUAGGGAAGAACAAAUGUGUAAGUAACUAUGCACGUCUUGACGGUACCUAAUCAGAAAGCCACGGCUAACUACGUGCCAGCAGCCGCGGUAAUACGUAGGUGGCAAGCGUUAUCCGGAAUUAUUGGGCGUAAAGCGCGCGUAGGCGGUUUUUUAAGUCUGAUGUGAAAGCCAACGGCUCAACCGUGGAGGGUCAUUGGAAGCUGGAAAACUGGAGUGCAGAAGGGGAAAGUGGAAUUCCAUGUGUAGCGGUGAAAUGCGCAGAGAUAUGGAGGAACACCAGUGGCGAAGGCGACUUUCUGGUCUGUAACUGACGCUGAUGUGCGAAAGCGUGGGGAUCAAACAGG
This 429-nucleotide ribosomal RNA is filed under the name Actinomycetes bacterium. RNAcentral describes it as "Actinobacteria bacterium partial 16S ribosomal RNA". It matches the Rfam family "Bacterial small subunit ribosomal RNA", at positions 355 to 776 of the family's 1533-position model. The record is from RNAcentral. Lineage: Bacteria; Bacillati; Actinomycetota; Actinomycetes.